This 443-nucleotide ribosomal RNA is filed under the name uncultured bacterium. RNAcentral describes it as "partial 16S ribosomal RNA". It matches the Rfam family "Bacterial small subunit ribosomal RNA", at positions 338 to 795 of the family's 1533-position model. The record is from RNAcentral.
CCUACGGGUGGCAGCAGUGGGGGAUAUUGGACAAUGGGGGAAACCCUGAUCCAGCGACGCCGCGUGAGUGAAGAAGUAUUUCGGUAUGUAAAGCUCUGUCAGCAGGGAAGAAAGAAAUGCCGGUACCUGACCAAGAAGUCCCGGCUAACUACGCGCCAGCAGCCGCAGUAAGACGUAGGGGGCUAGCGUUAUCCGGAAUUGCUGGGUGUAAAGGUAGCGUAGACGGUGAUGCAAGUCAGGAGUGAAAGGCGGGGGCCCAACCCCCGGACUGCUCUGGAAACUGUGGAACUUGAGUGCAGGAGAGGUAAGCGGAAUUCCUAGUGUAGCGGUGAAAUGCGUAGAUAUUAGGAGGAACACCAGUGGCGAAGGCGGCUUACUGGACUGUAACUGACGUUGAGGCUCGAAAGCGUGGGGAGCAAACAGGAUUAGAUACCCGAGUAGUC